This 253-nucleotide ribosomal RNA is filed under the name uncultured bacterium. RNAcentral describes it as "partial 16S ribosomal RNA". It matches the Rfam family "Bacterial small subunit ribosomal RNA", at positions 524 to 776 of the family's 1533-position model. The record is from RNAcentral.
UACGUAGGGAGCAAGCGUUGUCCGGAAUCAUUGGGCGUAAAGCGCGCGUAGGUGGCCUCGUAAGUCCGCUGUAAAAGUCAAAGGCUCAACCUUUGAAAGCCGGUGGAUACUGCGGGGCUAGAGUACGGAAGAGGCGGGUGGAAUUCCUGGUGUAGCGGUGGAAUGCGCAGAUAUCAGGAGGAACACCAAUAGCGAAGGCAGCUCGCUGGGACGUUACUGACACUGAGGCGCGAAAGCGUGGGGAGCGAACAGG